GUUUAAAUAGCUUAAAUUUAAAGUUUAUUAUUGAAGAUAAUAUGAUGAUUAUUAUUAAUCUUUAGACA
This 68-nucleotide transfer RNA is filed under the name Augomonoctenus smithi. RNAcentral describes it as "tRNA-Phe". The record is from RNAcentral. Lineage: Eukaryota; Metazoa; Arthropoda; Insecta; Hymenoptera; Diprionidae.